UCCCUGGUGGUUCAGUGGUUAAGACUCUGCGCUUCCAAUGCAGGGGUCUCAGGAUCAAUCUCUGGUUGGGGAA
This 73-nucleotide transfer RNA is filed under the name Bos taurus (domestic cattle). It matches the Rfam family "tRNA". Rfam says of the family: Transfer RNA (tRNA) molecules are approximately 80 nucleotides in length. Their secondary structure includes four short double-helical elements and three loops (D, anti-codon, and T loops). Lineage: Eukaryota; Metazoa; Chordata; Mammalia; Artiodactyla; Bovidae. RNAcentral also lists the same sequence under 5 other names. The record is from Rfam by way of RNAcentral.